UNGGAUAAAGUGUAAUAGAGACAUAAUGG
RNAcentral lists this non-coding RNA (29 nucleotides) under Mus musculus (house mouse). Lineage: Eukaryota; Metazoa; Chordata; Mammalia; Rodentia; Muridae. The record is from RNAcentral.